CCUGGUGGUCAUAACGUCUGUGUCCCACCCGGUCCCAUCCCGAACCCGGAAGUGAAACCAGAUAGUGCCGAUGGUACUUCGUCUUAAGGCGCGGAAGAGUAGGUCGUCGCCAGGU
Molecule: ribosomal RNA, 115 nt
Filed under: Alphaproteobacteria bacterium
Lineage: Bacteria; Pseudomonadati; Pseudomonadota; Alphaproteobacteria
Source: RNAcentral